RNAcentral lists this ribosomal RNA (773 nucleotides) under uncultured Streptococcus sp. RNAcentral's name for it is "bacterial SSU rRNA". It matches the Rfam family "Bacterial small subunit ribosomal RNA", at positions 28 to 776 of the family's 1533-position model. Lineage: Bacteria; Bacillati; Bacillota; Bacilli; Lactobacillales; Streptococcaceae. The record is from RNAcentral.
GACGAACGCUGGCGGCGUGCCUAAUACAUGCAAGUAGAACGCACAGGAUGCACCGUAGUUUACUACACCGUAUUCUGUGAGUUGCGAACGGGUGAGUAACGCGUAGGUAACCUGCCUGGUAGCGGGGGAUAACUAUUGGGAACGAUAGCUAAUACCGCAUAAGAACAUUUACUGCAUGGUAGAUGUUUAAAAGGUGCAAAUGCAUCACUACCAGAUGGACCUGCGUUGUAUUAGCUAGUAGGUGAGGUAACGGCUCACCUAGGCGACGAUACAUAGCCGACCUGAGAGGGUGAUCGGCCACACUGGGACUGAGACACGGCCCAGACUCCUACGGGAGGCAGCAGUAGGGAAUCUUCGGCAAUGGGGGGAACCCUGACCGAGCAACGCCGCGUGAGUGAAGAAGGUUUUCGGAUCGUAAAGCUCUGUUGUUAAGGAAGAACGAGUGUGAGAAUGGAAAGUUCAUACUGUGACGGUACUUAACCAGAAAGGGACGGCUAACUACGUGCCAGCAGCCGCGGUAAUACGUAGGUCCCGAGCGUUGUCCGGAUUUAUUGGGCGUAAAGCGAGCGCAGGCGGUUAGAUAAGUCUGAAGUUAAAGGCAGUGGCUCAACCAUUGUAGGCUUUGGAAACUGUUUAACUUGAGUGCAGAAGGGGAGAGUGGAAUUCCAUGUGUAGCGGUGAAAUGCGUAGAUAUAUGGAGGAACACCGGUGGCGAAAGCGGCUCUCUGGUCUGUAACUGACGCUGAGGCUCGAAAGCGUGGGGAGCGAACAGG